UAACUUUAAACAUAUCAAUAAGCGGAGGAAAAGAAACUAACAAGGAUUCCCCUAGUAACGGCGAGCGAAGCGGGAAGAGCUCAAAUUUGAAAGCUGGCACCUCCGGUGUCCGCGUUGUAAUCUCGAGACGUGUUUUCCGUGCGGCUCUAUGGACAAGUCCCUUGGAACAGGGCAUCGUAGAGGGUGAAAAUCCCGUACUUGCCAUGGAUGUACCGUGCUUUGUGAUACACGCUCUAAGAGUCGAGUUGUUUGGGAUUGCAGCUCAAAAUGGGUGGUAGACUCCAUCUAAAGCUAAAUAUCGGGGAGAGACCGAUAGCGAACAAGUACCGUGAGGGAAAGAUGAAAAGCACUUUGGAAAGAGAGUUAAAAGUACGUGAAAUUGUCGAAAGGGAAGCGCUUGAAGUCAGCCAUGCUGCGCGGACUCAGCCCGGCUGAUGCCUGGUGUAUUUCCCAGCAGCAAGUCAGCAUGGAUUUGGAUCGCCGGAGAAGGGUGGGAGGAAUGUGGCACCCUCGGGUGUGUUAAGCCUCCUACUGGAUACGGCGAUUUGGAUCCAGGAACGCAGUGUGCCUCUGGCGGGUCUUCGGACACCUUCACACUUAGGAUGCUGGCGUAAUGGCUUUAAGCGGCCCGUCUUGAACCCCGGGACCA
RNAcentral lists this ribosomal RNA (649 nucleotides) under Malassezia sympodialis. Its description in RNAcentral is "eukaryotic LSU rRNA". It matches the Rfam family "Eukaryotic large subunit ribosomal RNA", at positions 29 to 664 of the family's 3401-position model. Lineage: Eukaryota; Fungi; Basidiomycota; Malasseziomycetes; Malasseziales; Malasseziaceae. The record is from RNAcentral.